RNAcentral lists this unclassified non-coding RNA (331 nucleotides) under soil metagenome. RNAcentral's name for it is "partial contains 5.8S ribosomal RNA, internal transcribed spacer 2, and large subunit ribosomal RNA". The stretch from base 1 to 120 matches the Rfam family "5.8S ribosomal RNA", at positions 35 to 154 of the family's 154-position model. The record is from RNAcentral.
GAUGAAGAACGUAGUGAAAUGCGAUAAGUAAUGAGAAUUGCAGAAUUCAGUGGAUCAUCGAAUCUUUGAACGCACAUUGCGCCCCUUGGUAUUCCGAGGGGCAUGCCUGUUCGAGCGUCAUUUCAACCCUCAAGCUCUGCUUGGUCUUGGGCCUGGCCGUGAUGGCCGGUCUUAAAAUCAGUGGCGGUGCCGUCGCAGGCUCCAAGCGUAGUACAUCUCUCGCUCUGGAAACUUGGCGGUGCCUGCCAGACAACCCCUAAUUGUCUCUUUCGGUUGACCUCGGAUCAGGUAGGGAUACCCGCUGAACUUAAGCAUAUCAAUAAGCGGAGGA